This 301-nucleotide ribosomal RNA is filed under the name uncultured bacterium. RNAcentral's name for it is "partial 16S ribosomal RNA". It matches the Rfam family "Bacterial small subunit ribosomal RNA", at positions 509 to 808 of the family's 1533-position model. The record is from RNAcentral.
CAGUAGCCGCGGUAAAACGUAGGGUGCAAGCGUUAAUCGGAAUUACUGGGCGUAAAGCGUGCGCAGGCGGUUCGUUAAGACAGAUGCGAAAUCCCCGGGCUUAACCUGGGAACUGCAUUUGUGACUGGCGGGCUAGAGUAUGGCAGAGGGGGGUAGAAUUCCACGUGUAGCAGUGAAGUGCGUAGAGAUGUGGAGGAAUACCGAUGGCGAAGGCAGCCCCCUGGGCCAAUACUGACGCUCAUGCACGAAAGCGUGGGGAGCAAACAGGAUUAGAACCCGGGUAGUCCCUGUCUCUUAUACA